AAUCAUGCCACAGUAUGAUUCUAAUCUGAUAGCAUUUGUAGCAACUACAGGGGAGAAUUCAAAACUCAGUUUGGCUGAUGUGGUCUUUUAAAAUAUGCCUAACUCUACCCAUCCCAUGCUGAUUUUCUGCUGACGUCACCAGAGAAGUCUUUGUGGAUAUUUGCCACUCUCCUGGACACUCCUCAAACCCUCACCACUUUUUGAGAGCAUCAGGGAUGUGGAAGGCCAAGCCAAGGACCAGUUAGAGUCUAACUGUAUCUUUAACUUUUAAAAUUUGGCCUAUCCUGCUUGUGAUCAUUCCACUUGAGACCAGUAUAACACAGUUGCUUGGACCACCUAUUUCACAUGUGCAGUUCAUCAAAGGUAUGCAGAGGAAAGCAUACUUGUCACCUGGCCAUGCACCUUGGCCAGUUUGGACAAUGAUCCUGAGUCUCCAUAAAUAUGCAAGAGAGAUUAAUAGGAGAGAGUCCCAGAGAAGUCAGGAUCUGAGCCCCGGGCACUGAGAACACAGGUUGUGCUGACCCCGGGCUAGCAGGCCACAGUAAUCACUGUGUGGAUCAGAGACAAAUGGAUAUGCGAAGCAGAAAUACAGUUAUGUGCAUGUCAUUAUUUCUGUGAUUGAAUUGGUUUAACUUGGGCAUUUUAUCACAUCUGUCAUUUGUUUCAACAGCCUCUCAAUAAACAAUAAAAAGACCCUGGAUUUCAA
Long non-coding RNA from Suricata suricatta (meerkat), 706 nucleotides. RefSeq lists it as uncharacterized. The record is from RefSeq and is a predicted model, not a curated record. Lineage: Eukaryota; Metazoa; Chordata; Mammalia; Carnivora; Herpestidae. The transcript has 4 exons.